GACACGGAGCCGAAGCGAAAGCGAGUCUUAAUAGGGCGACUAGUAACAUGGUGUAGACCCGAAACCGCAGUGAUCUACCCAUGUCCAGGUUGAAGCGCAGGUAAAAUUGCGUGGAGGACCGAACCGGUGAGCGUUGAAAAGCUUUCGGAUGAGAUGUGGGUAGGGGUGAAAUUCCAAUCGAACGCGGAGAUAGCUGGUUCUCCCCGAAAUAGCUUUAGGGCUAGCCUGAGGUAGUAAGUAUAGGCGGUAGAGCACUGAUCGGGCUAGGGGCCGUAAAGGUUACCGAACCCUGUCAAACUCCGAAUGGAUAUACUGUAGAGCCUUGGAGUCAGACUACGAGUGAUAAGAUCCGUGGUCAAAAGGGAAACAGCCCAGACCACCAGCUAAGGUCCCCAAUGUCGUACUAAGUGGAAAAGGAUGUGGGGUUUCAUAAACAACCAGGAUGUUGGCUCAGAAGCAGCCACCAUUUAAAGAGUGCGUAAUAGCUCACUGGUCGAGAGACCCUGCGCCGAAGAUUCCCGGGGCUAAAGUACGAAACCGAAGCUGUGGCUGUAUACGUAAAGUAUACGGGGUAGGGGAGCGUUCCCAUAGGGUAGAAGUCGAACUGGAAGGUUCGGUGGACUUGUGGGAAGUGAGAAUGUUGGUAUGAGUAGCGAAAAGAAAGGUGAGAAUCCUUUCCACCGAAAGCAUAAGGAUUCCUGAGCAACGAUCGUCGUCUCAGGGUAAGUCGGGACCUAAUCCGAGGCAGAGAGCGUAGGAGAUGGACAACUGGUUGAUAUUCCAGUACCGGUAGUAAUUGUUUGAGCAAUGGAGUGACACAGAAGGGCAGGCAAGCAUGCGAAUGGAAGAGCAUGUGUAAGCGUGUAGGGUGGUGCAUAGGCAAAUCCGUGCACUGAAAGCCUGAGGCGUGAUGCGGAGUGAGCAGAGAUGCGAGCGAAGUUGUUGACCCCACACUGUCGAGAAAAGCUUCUAGUGAGAGAGCUACCGCCCGUACCGUAAACCGACACAGGUAUGCGGGGAGAGAAUCCUAAGGUGCGCGGGAGAACCCUCGUUAAGGAACUCGGCAAAAUGUACCCGUAACUUCGGGAUAAGGGUAGCCACUGUUGUGAAGUCCCAUGCGGAUGGAGCAUAGAGUGGUCGCAGAGAAGAGGCCCAAGCGACUGUUUACCAUAAACACAGGUGCCUGCUAAAGCGAAAGCUGACGUAUAGGUGCUGACACCUGCCCAGUGCCGGAAGGUUAAGGAAGGAUGUUCGGAUUAGUCCAAAGCAUUCGACUGAAGCCCCGGUGAACGGCGGCCGUAACUAUAACGGUCCUAAGGUAGCGAAAUUCCUUGUCGGGUAAGUUCCGACCCGCACGAAAGGUGUAACGAUUUGGGCACUGUCUCAACGAGGGACCCGGUGAAAUUGAAAUACCUGUGAAGAUGCAGGUUACCCGCGACUGGACAGAAAGACCCCAUGGAGCUUUACUGUAACCUGACAUUGGGUUUUGAUACAUUACGUACAGGAUAGGUGGGAGGCAUGGAAAGCUGGACGCUAGUCUGGCUGGAGCCGACGUUGGGAUACCACCCUUGAUGUAUUGAAAUUCUAACCGCGAGAGUAACGAAAUCCGGGACAGUGUCAGGCGGGCAGUUUGACUGGGGCGGUCGCCUCCGAAAGAGUAACGGAGGCGCCCAAAGGUUCCCUCAGCGCGGCCGGAAAUCGCGCGAAGAGUGUAAAGGCAGAAGGGAGCUUGACUGCGAGUCAAACACGACGAGCAGGUACGAAAGUAGGGCUUAGUGAUCCGGUGGUACCGAGUGGAAGGGCCAUCGCUCAACGGAUAAAAGCUACCCUGGGGAUAACAGGCUAAUCUCUCCCAAGAGUCCAUAUCGACGGGGAGGUUUGGCACCUCGAUGUCGGCUCAUCACAUCCUGGGGCUGGAGCAGGUCCCAAGGGUUGGGCUGUUCGCCCAUUAAAGUGGUACGUGAGCUGGGUUCAGAACGUCGUGAGACAGUUCGGUCC
RNAcentral lists this ribosomal RNA (1998 nucleotides) under human gut metagenome. Its description in RNAcentral is "bacterial LSU rRNA". It matches the Rfam family "Bacterial large subunit ribosomal RNA", at positions 657 to 2637 of the family's 2925-position model. The record is from RNAcentral.